CCGACCUUAGCUCAGUUGGUAGAGCGGAGGACUGUAGUGAGAUUACUCUAAGAAAUCCUUAGGUCGCUGGUUCGAAUCCGGCAGGUCGGA
Molecule: non-coding RNA, 90 nt
Organism: Gossypium raimondii (Peruvian cotton)
Lineage: Eukaryota; Viridiplantae; Streptophyta; Magnoliopsida; Malvales; Malvaceae
Source: Rfam